UAGAAAUUAGUUAAAAUAUAUAAUAUAAGCUUGUCAUGUUUAAGUUGAAACUGUCAUUUCUAA
Molecule: transfer RNA, 63 nt
Filed under: Proasellus cavaticus
Lineage: Eukaryota; Metazoa; Arthropoda; Malacostraca; Isopoda; Asellidae
Description: transfert RNA-D(GAC)
Source: RNAcentral